This is a long non-coding RNA of Carassius auratus (goldfish), 1165 nucleotides long. RefSeq lists it as uncharacterized. NCBI's taxonomy places the organism in Eukaryota, Metazoa, Chordata, Actinopteri, Cypriniformes, Cyprinidae. The record is from RefSeq and is a predicted model, not a curated record. The transcript is spliced from 4 exons.
CGGGCAAAUGCUUACUGUAAAACCUGUAUACAGCAUGUUACUGUAGAUCUGCAAAGCAUCAUGGUCAAUUUUCAAUGGUGGGAAAUUCUACAGUAAAAAUAUUUUUUUCUGUGAAUCACAAUACAGCAAUUUCUAGAGGAUUUUUUUUUCCCCAGAAAUGGAAAGCUGAAAAGCUAGAUUCCACACUUUCAUUGGAAUUUUAACUUCAGAAAGGUAACUUUGCUGAUUUAUUUCCACAGUUUACUCUAGUCAAGUUAACUAUUUGUUCAACUAAUUUAUUAUUUAUUAUUAUUUGUUCAAGAGUGCACUGAGAGAGAGAGAGGUAAAAGAGCGGGACACUUCCUAGUAAACUCGUGUCUUGUGUGCAUUUUAUUAGCAAAAAAAAAAAAAAAAUAGUGCAUAAUUUCGAUCGAUUUUCUAAUCUGGCAACAUUCGAUAACGUCAUCAGUUUAGAGAAGGAUAGCAUUGUUGAAUAAAAAUUAAAUUGGAAUUGUGUAUGUGUCUGUUGGUGCACUAGCAGGAGUUUUCUCCAGCCAGCUAACGUCAACUGUCACCGCCGACACCGCGUGCGUGCGUGUGGAGCAGUGAAGCCAAGCCAGCCGACUCCAGAGUCCAGACUCGACAGAAAACGCAGUUAGAGGAAACUUCACCCCAAGCAGACGUUGAGGACCAGAUUUCUCUGCCAAGCACUCUAAGACUCAUCAUGCUCGGAGAGUCCAUUCUGGGGGCAAAUAGGUGGAUGCUUUCCAUCGAGGGCAGAGUUCUCCAACCAAAUCCAACUGAGUGACCGUUUCGAAUUCACUUCUGCUCUGGCUGUCCUUUUUGCAUCAUACUAUAUAUUUAACAUGGAAUAUCCUGCGGAGGCAGCCACCACAUUAGAAUGUAUCCAGAGGGUAGAAGACUCCAGCCCAGGAAAUUGUCUAAUUCAGGCCCGUUUCUGAAGAAAAAUACAGUUCUGGGAGAAAAACAACAUUCAGGGACCAAAUUCUACUGUUUGAAAUCCUGCUGUUUUUAAAUAAUUAAAUUUGCCUUUUAUACAUUCUAAUUUUAACCGAACAUAUUAAUCCAUUUGAACAGGAUUGAUUUGUAUGUUCAGAAAAGUGUUGUUGUAUACAAAACUAAAUGAAAUGUUAACAGACAAAUGUUUACCUAUUGAAGAUUUUUU